AUUGAACGCUGGCGGCAUGCCUUACACAUGCAAGUCGAACGGUAACAGGUCUUCGGAUGCUGACGAGUGGCGAACGGGUGAGUAAUACAUCGGAACGUGCCUAGUAGUGGGGGAUAACUACUCGAAAGAGUGGCUAAUACCGCAUGAGAUCUACGGAUGAAAGCAGGGGAUCGCAAGACCUUGUGCUACUAGAGCGGCCGAUGGCAGAUUAGGUAGUUGGUGGGAUAAAAGCUUACCAAGCCGACGAUCUGUAGCUGGUCUGAGAGGACGAUCAGCCACACUGGACUGAGAAACGGCCCAGACUCCUACGGGAGGCAGCAGUGGGGAAUUUUGGACAAUGGGCGCAAGCCUGAUCCAGCAAUGCCGCGUGCAGGAUGAAGGCCUUCGGGUUGUAAACUGCUUUUGUACGGAACGAAAAGCCCCGGGUUAAUACCCUGGGGUCAUGACGGUACCGUAAGAAUAAGCACCGGCUAACUACGUGUCAGCCGCCGCGGUAA
RNAcentral lists this ribosomal RNA (497 nucleotides) under uncultured bacterium. RNAcentral describes it as "partial 16S ribosomal RNA". It matches the Rfam family "Bacterial small subunit ribosomal RNA", at positions 30 to 523 of the family's 1533-position model. The record is from RNAcentral.